GGGCAACCACAGGGAUUGCUCACUGGUGACUCAGUGGUUGACUCAAAGGCUAGGGGGUGGUUUGGGGGUGGAGGCAGAGGUCCAGUGAGCUGGGCUCCACCCUUUCUCUCCCUGCAGUCCCAACUCCAUUUUUAUCUGUGCUAUAUGUUGGAGUCUAGCCAAGAUGUCAUUUGAACAAAGAUUCUGAAAGAUCAAAGAAAAAAGUUUGAAAACCACCAGGACAAUGCUUUCAGGGGACUUUAUCCAAAAGACUGCAACAAUGUAAAGAGAUACGAUUGCUUUUAUUACUGUGAUAUGUUUAAAGUAUUAUAAAUUUUUUAAGAGCUUUGUAAGUGACAGAAGUGAAGACAUGCUCAUUUUAAUGUUACCAGUCAACUCUGAGAAGACUAAAGGUCAAGGGACAAUGAAAAUGUGACCCUUACCAACGACAGAAACUCCCAGGAAGCCACAAUUAACUCAAGACUACCAGGAUAUUUGGGGAAGUUUAUCCUUCUGGAAACCAGAAUUUCUGAUUUGUGGAAAAUUCUAUAGAUAUUCUCUGCCAGACUCCAGCCUAUUUGAUGAAACAAUUGAGGCCAAAGAGGUAAAGUGACAGCCACCAUCAUCCCAACUAAGUUGGAAGGCCAAAGGACAAAAGGAAACAUAAGAACGCAAUUACCUGAAUGACAGAUUAGAACUCAGGGAUUAUUUCUUGAUCCAGGCUUAGUCAAUGGAAGAGCUGGUACAUGAACGCAGGCACAGUUGGUGAACAGUAGAGCCAGGAUUCAGACUCAGGCAGCCUGGCUACAGGGCCUGUUUUCUUCAACCCCAUGGCAUCCUGCCUCUUUUUUUUUGGGGGGGGGGGUGGGGAGGGGUGGGGAUGGAGUCUCAUUCUGUCACCCAGGCUGGAGUGCAGUGGUGCAAUCUCAGCUAACUGCAACCUCCGCCUCCUGGGUUCAAGCGGUUCUCCUGCCUCAGCCUCCCAAGUAGCUGGGACUACAGAUGCGUGCCACCACACCCAGCUAACUUUUGUAUUUUUAGUAGAGACAGGGUUUCACCAUGUUGGCCAUGAUGGCACCAUGGUCUCGAUCUCUUGACCUCGUGAUCUGCCUGCCUCAGCAUCCCAAAGUGCUGAAAGUGACAGGGUAAGGAUUUGAAACUCAGGCCUGCCUGCCUGUCUCCAACCACUCAGUCUUUUCUCCAGCCAUCCUGCGUCCGUUACAAUUCACACACUGUUUGUCACCACUGGCUAAUGGCUUUGGAUACUUCUUCCUCUUAUCAGUGUGAGACAUCUGGGGAGGCUCCCCUUUUUUUCACCAUUUGAGGACUGAAAGUAAAUUUAGCUUCCUCAGCAGAAAGAAAAGAAGCUGUUUUGGAGGUUGGGAAGAGCUUUAGAAAAUGCGGCAUCAAGUCUGUUGCCCCUUUAAAGAAAGCAGCUCUGGAAAAGGCCUAGGACAUUAGUUGCUACAAAGUUCUAGAUCAUUCUGUGUGGUAAAGAAGUGCCUUUCACCUCCCACUGUGACUCUGAGGCCUCCCCAGCCAUGUGGAACUAUAAGGUCUGUGUUGGUAAAUUAGACACCGUGUGGCCUUUCAACAUCCAGGAGCAAGAUGGCAGGAGGAUCAUGCCAACAACUGAGGUACCUUGCAGGAAAUCAAACAGGAAGAAAUCACCCAAUGGGAUCAGCUGGGCAAACAUGGGUCACUCCAGGUCUGGUCCCUCAAAUCUACUCAACCAAACCAUAUCAUAGUGGAUAACUAUUAUCUUUACCUGACUAGCAUUCAUUGCCCCUUCUGGUAUGCCCUAUUCCCCACUCUCAAUCCCUCUGUUUUAAGAAUGCCCCCACCUCCACCUUCCAUCUCCAGGAGUGAUAUCCACCCAGGUUUGCUCAGUAAGACUAUGAGACCUAUCUUCCUGGCUGUGGUGUUGGUUCAGAAGCAACAUGCCAACCAACCUGAUCCAAUGAGAGUGAGUUCUAGGACUUUUGCUGGAACUACUGUAUGUCUAUAUAUAAAAGAGAAUCUAUCUUUCUAUUGAAAGCCAAGGGUAAGAAGCCAAUAUGAUAUGCAUUUGAUUCUGUUAUGGAAAUCCACAUAAAAGAAGGCUGCCCAAGUAUAAAACCAACACAGAAGAAAGCAGAGGUAAGAGAUGGAAAAAGAAAUGGAGUGAACCAGUGACAGCAAGAGACUGAAGAACAUCAUUUGAUUGCCUGGAAUCAGCUAAGCCUGAAGAGAAGCCUAACCCUAAGCUUUUCAGUUACCCAAGCCAUCAAAUUCCCAUCCCCAUUUUUUUGGUUCUUAAGCAGCUUGAACCAUAGUUGUCUCACUUGCAUGCAAGAGAUCCCUGAAGAUACAUGCACUUCCUCAGGUGAAGAUUGCCAUCAGUUAACAGAUCCUGGCACCCAUGGACCCUGGGACAGUCAUUCUGGUAGCAUCCUCUGGUAGAGAAUAACAUAGUCAAAUCUGACAGUCAGAGAGGAUCUGCCAGCCUCUGCUUAGAUAUAGCCCACUGAAAGGGAGAGAUGAUUAAUUUAGCCUUGAUUUCAAAACCUUGUCUUGUAUAUUCCAUUCAGCACUUUUUAUCUUCCUGUAUUCCCCUGGUUCCUCUCUAGCUGAAUAAAGAACAAUUUUUAAAGCAAACAUC
Pan troglodytes (chimpanzee) is the source of this 2620-nucleotide long non-coding RNA. RefSeq lists it as uncharacterized. Lineage: Eukaryota; Metazoa; Chordata; Mammalia; Primates; Hominidae. The transcript has 4 exons. The record is from RefSeq and is a predicted model, not a curated record.